This 440-nucleotide ribosomal RNA is filed under the name uncultured bacterium. RNAcentral describes it as "partial 16S ribosomal RNA". It matches the Rfam family "Bacterial small subunit ribosomal RNA", at positions 338 to 795 of the family's 1533-position model. The record is from RNAcentral.
CCUACGGGAGGCAGCAGUGGGGGAUAUUGCACAAUGGGGGGAACCCUGAUGCAGCGACGCCGCGUGAGCGAUGAAGUAUUUCGGUAUGUAAAGCUCUAUCAGCAGGGAAGAAAAUGACGGUACCUGACUAAGAAGCCCCGGCUAACUACGUGCCAGCAGCCGCGGUAAUACGUAGGGGGCAAGCGUUAUCCGGAUUUACUGGGUGUAAAGGGAGCGUAGACGGCAGUGCAAGUCUGAAGUGAAAGGCAAGGGCUCAACCUUUGGACUGCUUUGGAAACUGUGCUGCUGGAGUGUCGGAGAGGCAAGUGGAAUUCCUAGUGUAGCGGUGAAAUGCGUAGAUAUAUGGAGGAACACCAGUGGCGAAGGCGACGAUCUGGCCUGCAACUGACGCUCAGUCCCGAAAGCGUGGAGAGCAAAUAGGAUUAGAUACCCCUGUAGUC